AAUCAACGCUGGCGGCGUGCCUCAGACAUGCAAGUCGAACGCGAAAGUCCCCUUCGGGGGGGCAAGUAGAGUGGCGCACGGGUGAGUAACACGUAGGUAAUCUACCUUUGGAUGGGGAAUAACAACCGGAAACGUUGCUAAUACCGCAUAAUGCAGCGGCACCUAAUGGUGACAGUUGUUAAAGCGGGGGAUCGAAAGACCUCGCGUCUGAAGAGGAGCCUGCGGCGGAUUAGCUAGNGGUAAGGUAACGGCUUACCAAGGCAACGAUCCGUAGCCGGCCUGAGAGGGCGGUCGGCCACACUGACACUGACAUACGGGUCAGACUCCUACGGGAGGCAGCAGUCGGGAAUUUUGGGCAAUGGGCGAAAGCCUGACCCAGCAACGCCGCGUGAAGGA
Molecule: ribosomal RNA, 396 nt
Filed under: uncultured bacterium
Lineage: Bacteria
Description: bacterial SSU rRNA
Rfam family: Bacterial small subunit ribosomal RNA
Source: RNAcentral